CCUACGGGAGGCAGCAGUGGGGAAUCUUGCACAAUGGGGGAAACCCUGAUGCAGCGACGCCGCGUGAGUGAAGAAGUAAUUCGUUAUGUAAAGCUCUAUCAGCAGGGAAGAACAUGACGGUACCUGAGUAAGAAGCCCCGGCUAACUACGUGCCAGCAGCCGCGGUAAUACGUAGGGGGCAAGCGUUAGCCGGAUUUACUGGGUGUAAAGGGAGCGUAGACGGCAGUGCAAGUCUGGAGUGAAAGGCGGGGGCUCAACCCCCGGACUGCUCUGGAAACUGUACGGCUGGAAUGCAGGAGAGGUAAGUGGAAUUCCUAGUGUAGCGGUGAAAUGCGUAGAUAUUAGGAGGAACACCAGUGGCGAAGGCGGCUGACUGGACUGUAACUGACGUUGAGGCUCGAAAGCGUGGGGAGCAAACAGGAUUAGAUACCCUUGUAGUC
This 440-nucleotide ribosomal RNA is filed under the name uncultured bacterium. RNAcentral describes it as "partial 16S ribosomal RNA". It matches the Rfam family "Bacterial small subunit ribosomal RNA", at positions 338 to 795 of the family's 1533-position model. The record is from RNAcentral.